This 271-nucleotide ribosomal RNA is filed under the name uncultured bacterium. RNAcentral describes it as "partial 16S ribosomal RNA". It matches the Rfam family "Bacterial small subunit ribosomal RNA", at positions 524 to 794 of the family's 1533-position model. The record is from RNAcentral.
UACAGAGAGUGCAAGCGUUAAUCGGAAUUAUUGGGCGUAAAGCGCGCGUAGGUGGAUGCCUAAGUCGGUUGUGAAAUCCCCGGGCUUAACUUGGGAAUUGCAAUUGAUACUGAGUAUCUUGAGUAUGGUAGAGGGAAGUGGAAUUUCCGGUGUAGCGGUGAAAUGCGUAGAUAUCGGAAAGAACACCAGUGGCGAAAGCGACUUCCUGGAUCAAUACUGACACUGAGGCGCGAAAGCGUGGGGAGCAAACAGGAUUAGAUACCCGGGUAGU